RNAcentral lists this ribosomal RNA (497 nucleotides) under uncultured bacterium. RNAcentral's name for it is "partial 16S ribosomal RNA". It matches the Rfam family "Bacterial small subunit ribosomal RNA", at positions 28 to 507 of the family's 1533-position model. The record is from RNAcentral.
GAUGAACGCUGGCGGCGUGCCUAAUACAUGCAAGUCGAGCGAACAGACGAGGAGCUUGCUCCUCUGACGUUAGCGGCGGACGGGUGAGUAACACGUGGAUAACCUACCUAUAAGACUGGGAUAACUUCGGGAAACCGGAGCUAAUACCGGAUAAUAUAUUGAACCGCAUGGUUCAAUAGUGAAAGACGGUUUUGCUGUCACUUAUAGAUGGAUCCGCGCCGCAUUAGCUAGUUGGUAAGGUAACGGCUUACCAAGGCAACGAUGCUUAGCCGACCUGAGAGGGUGAUCGGCCACACUGGAACUGAGACACGGUCCAGACUCCUACGGGAGGCAGCAGUAGAGAAUCUUCCGCAAUGGGCGAAAGCCUGACGGAGCAACGCCGCGUGAGUGAUGAAGGUCUUCGGAUCGUAAAACUCUGUUAUUAGGGAAGAACAAAUGUGUAAGUAACUAUGCACGUCUUGACGGUACCUAAUCAGAAAGCCACGGCUAACUACGUG